AUGUCACUGCUCUGUAUGGGCAGAGUUGGAUAUGUCAGUCAGCAGGCAGAGAUCCUCCUUGAAGUAUCAGGGAGGUUUCUUCAGUAUAUCUCAGCGGGGUCCCCUGACGGGCUGCUGUUUUGGCACGUGACAGGUUGCUCACGCUACUUCCAGAGCUGGCUGGGCCUGGCUGUAAUGGAUGCACAGCAGUUCCUGGCCUCCUCCCACACAGACACCACUUUGGCCCCCUGCUACCUAAACCCUGUGACUUAUGCCCRAAACAGGGCUCGUGGUGGUUGGUGUGAAGGAACAGAGAAGGGAAAGGAUGAGGCAAAACUUCUAAGGAAGAUGUGUGACGAUGAUGUCAGUUGGCAGAUACCUUUUCAGAAGGCAGGAAGUGGGGAAUGACAUGGAACUUUUYUGCAGGGACCAAAGAUGGCUGUAUUUGCAGCUUGAACUUGUAGUGCU
Molecule: long non-coding RNA, 447 nt
Filed under: Dromaius novaehollandiae (emu)
Lineage: Eukaryota; Metazoa; Chordata; Aves; Casuariiformes; Dromaiidae
Description: lncRNA (ENSDNVG00000006200.1)
Source: RNAcentral